AAAAACAUGUCCUUUAGAAUUUAAUUUAAGGUCUAACCUGCCCACUGAGAAGUUUUAAAUGGCCGCAGUAUUUUAACUGUGCAAAGGUAGCAUAAUCAUUAGUCUUUUAAUUGAAGGCUUGUAUGAAUGGUUGGACGAAAUAUUAACUGUUUCAUAAAAAUUAAUUUAGAAUUUUAUUUUUUAGUUAAAAAGCUAAAAUAAUUUUGAAAGACGAGAAGACCCUAUAGAUCUUUAUAUUUUAUAUAUUAUAAUUAUUUAGAUUAUUUAGGUUAUGAUUAUAUAAAAUAUUUUGUUGGGGUGACAUUAAAAUUUAAUUAACUUUUAAUUAAUAUUUACAUUAAUUUAUGAAUAUUUGAUCCAUUAAUAAUGAUUAAAAAAUUAAGUUACCUUAGGGAUAACAGCGUAAUUUUUUUGAAGAGUUCAUAUCGAUAAAAAAGAUUGCGACCUCGAUGUUGGAUUAAGAAAUAAUUUUGGGUGCAGCAAUUCAAUUAUUAAGUCUGUUCGACUUUUAAUUUCUUACAUGAUCU
Molecule: ribosomal RNA, 527 nt
Filed under: Procyclotelus elegans
Lineage: Eukaryota; Metazoa; Arthropoda; Insecta; Diptera; Therevidae
Description: partial 16S ribosomal RNA
Rfam family: Bacterial large subunit ribosomal RNA
Source: RNAcentral